UUGCUCUCCUAUAAGAGGUCCAGCCUGCCCAGUGACUUAGUUCAACGGCCGCGGUACCCUAACCGUGCGAAGGUAGCGUAAUCACUUGUCUUCUAAAUAGAGACUAGUAUGAAAGGCAUCACGAGAAUUUAACUGUCUCCUUUUUCCAAUCAGUGAAACUAAUCUUCCCGUGAAGAAGCGGGAAUCCAAAAAUAAGACGAGAAGACCCUAUGGAGCUUUAAACACUAACCACCUGCCCGAUCCUAUAAAACCCCGGUUCCUAAACCAACGCAUCAUGACUACGUGUUUUUGAUUGGGGCGACCACGGAAAAUAAUCAAACCUCCGUAAUGAAAACCUACAAGCCACAGCUUUAAGUAUCAACAAAUUGACAUCCAUUGACCCAAUAUAUUGACUAAUGAAC
RNAcentral lists this ribosomal RNA (401 nucleotides) under Pristimantis chiastonotus (Brownberg robber frog). Its description in RNAcentral is "partial large subunit ribosomal RNA". It matches the Rfam family "Bacterial large subunit ribosomal RNA", at positions 1835 to 2457 of the family's 2925-position model. The record is from RNAcentral. Lineage: Eukaryota; Metazoa; Chordata; Amphibia; Anura; Strabomantidae.